CCUACGGGAGGCAGCAGUCGGGAAUAUUGCGCAAUGGAGGAAACUCUGACGCAGUGACGCCGCGUGCAGGAAGAAGGUUUUCGGAUUGUAAACUGCUUUAGACAGGGAAGAAAAAAGACAGUACCUGUAGAAUAAGCUCCGCCGAACUACGUGCCAGCAGCCGCGGUAAUACGUAGGGAGCAAGCGUUAUCCGGAUUUAUUGGGUGGAAAGGGUGCGUAGACGGAGAAGCGAGUUAGUUGUGAAAUCCCUCGGCUUAACUGAGGAACUGAAAAUAAAACUACUUCCCUUGAGUACUGGAGAGGAAAGUGGAAAUCCCAGUGGAGCGGUGAAAUGCGUAGAUAUUAGGAGGAAACACAGGGGCGAAGGCGACUUUCUGGACAGUAACUAACGUUGAGGCACGAAAGUGUUGGGAGCAAACAGGAUUAGAUACCCGGGUAGUC
Molecule: ribosomal RNA, 441 nt
Filed under: uncultured bacterium
Lineage: Bacteria
Description: partial 16S ribosomal RNA
Rfam family: Bacterial small subunit ribosomal RNA
Source: RNAcentral